UGCAUCUGAGGCCUGCGAGGAUGAGAACCUCCGGGGGCAGGAGGUUCGACUCGAGCGAAGCGAGAGAACGUUGCGUCAGCAACGGCCCGCAGGGC
Molecule: small RNA, 95 nt
Filed under: Klebsiella pneumoniae subsp. pneumoniae
Lineage: Bacteria; Pseudomonadati; Pseudomonadota; Gammaproteobacteria; Enterobacterales; Enterobacteriaceae
Description: partial RtT sRNA
Rfam family: RtT RNA
About the family: This family represents a bacterial cis-regulatory element known as RtT RNA. The exact function of RtT is unknown although it is thought that it may be involved in changing the cellular response in relation to amino acid starvation.
Source: RNAcentral